Xyrauchen texanus (razorback sucker) is the source of this 3086-nucleotide RNA transcript. It is a transcript of the gene named galactosylgalactosylxylosylprotein 3-beta-glucuronosyltransferase 1-like, with no coding region annotated. The record is from RefSeq and is a predicted model, not a curated record. The transcript has 9 exons. Lineage: Eukaryota; Metazoa; Chordata; Actinopteri; Cypriniformes; Catostomidae.
UCUCCCAGCCUGUCUUGUUUUCUUAAUUCAACUGUAAAUUACACGCUAUAUUGAUGCAAGUUUUAGAUUAGAAGAUGUUAUAAAUGCUGUUAUUUUGUGCUAUUGAAAAGCUAUUGCAGGAGCAAGAGAGCAGAAAAGAGAGACGAGAGAGCGACUCUUUACGGAGUGUGACCCGGCACACUUGGAAGGCAUUCAGCUACUCCACAGUGGACCAGACCGUCUUUCCAUGGCAGCUUCACUCGUGGGCUGUGAUCUGGUUUGUUAAUUAAACAGAGAAACAUUCUCUGAUGGUCAAGAAGAAAAUACACACUUCACCGCAUCUCAGAACCUCAAAACAAUCUCAGAACCCUCAUGGAUAAGACAAAGUUUCAUCCUUAAGCGUCCACAAUUGCAGUCUUUGUUGUCUGAAUGAGAGGACGCAUUCUUCCAGAGGGAUGACCUCUUCUCUCCCCGCUAGUCCUGGCACUGCUCACACCAGCCCAGCAGCCAUCUCUCUCGCCUGCUCUCAUUGUCCUUCCUCUCUCAAAGGCCAUCAGCAGGACAUCUGACUGACAUAUAGCAUGUGUAUAUGGUUGUGUCAAGGCAACGAGAAAUAGAUUGAGCAUAUCCCAAUGGACUCACCCAGACGUUGACCUUUGACACAGAUCAGAAAGAGGAAAUGCCGAAGAGAAGAGACAUCCUGGCACUCGUAUUGAUCGUGUUACCCUGGACUUUGCUCAUCUCAAUUUGGCAUCAACGUUCUGGCAACCCUUUGCUUCCAGUUCAGAGAGGUGACAGGUCAGGGGUCAGCAGAUGUCACAGAAGAGGCUUUAGACUCCAAGAAUCCUGCAUCACUGAGAACACACAAAUCACGGAGGUCACCCGAACAAAGUACAUCUACAGCCGACUCCCGCCUUGGUCUGACACACUGCCCACUCUUCACGUGAUAACUCCAACCUACAGCAGGCCAGUCCAGAAGGCAGAGUUGACCCGCCUAGCUAAUACCUUCCUACACGUCCCCAACCUUCACUGGUUGGUGGUAGAGGACUCUGCUGGGAAAACACUGCUUGUGUCCAGACUGCUGGAGAACACAGGUUUGAAUUACACACACUUGAACAUUGAGACUCCUAAAAACCUCAAGGUGCGAACGAAUCCCAGAGAUUCACGGAUCCCACGCGGCACUAUGCAGAGGAACCUCGCUCUCCGCUGGCUGAGGAGAAACAUCAACCCCAUCUCUGGUCAUAAAGGAAUCGUCUAUUUUGCAGAUGAUGACAAUACCUACAGCCUGGAGUUGUUUGAAGAGAUGCGUUGGACUCGCAGAGCAUCUGUCUGGCCAGUCGCCUUUGUCGGAGGGCUUCGUUUUGAAUCGCCAAAAAUCAACUCUUUUGGCAAAGUGUUCGGCUGGAGGACGGUGUUUGACCCUCAUCGACCAUUUGCCAUCGACAUGGCAGGGUUUGCUGUGAAUCUCCAGCUCAUCCUCAGUAAACCUCAGGCCUACUUUAAACUCCGGGGGGUAAAGGGAGGAUACCAGGAGAGCAGUCUAUUACAGGAUCUGGUCACUCUUAGUGACCUGGAACCCAAAGCUGCCAACUGCACAAAGAUUUUUUCCAUGCAUUGAAAGUGAAUGGUGACUGAGGCAUUCUGCUUAACAUCUUCCACAAAAAGAAGAAAGUCAUACAGGUUUAAACAACAUGAGGGUCCUGGUCUGGCACACCCGAACGGAAAGACCUGUGCUUGUGAAUGAAGGAAAAAAGGGAUUUACAGAUGUUAGCAUGGAAGUAUGAUGAACUGCAACCAUGCUAUAUUUUAUUCAAAUUUUUUUCACAGUAUUGCAAGUUGGAUAAUGCUGGAGUUCUCUGGCAAAACUAAAAUGUCAUUGUUCACUGCGCUUUCACCUCAUCUGAGACACACUGGAGUUUUCAAAUAACACAAAACAAAGAGCAAUUCUCCAUUUUCCUCUGAGGCACAACAAACAAAAAACCUCUGCAUCCUUUAAAAGGAUUAAAAUGAAAUUAAAAAGCUCUGAGUGAAAUGGUGUCAUUCUGCACAAUAUGUUUAUAUUUUAUUCCAGAUAAAUGCUCUGGAAAGCUUUUGCUCUAAUAGCUUUACAAUGCUAUUGUAAAAGGGUCAAUUUACUGGUUUGAAUGUGAGUUCAAGAUGAAAAUAUUUAUUUCACAAGCCAGGUCUUAAUGUUUUGUCUUACUAUUGAAAGAAAGCAUAAAAUGUGCUCAUGCAAAACUUACUACCAUUAUGCCAGAGCGUUGCUAUAUGGUUGCAAACAUGUUCUGAGUGGUUGUAAGCACAUUGCUAUGCAGUUUCUACAUUGUUCUGAGUGGUUGCUUACCAGCUCAAGUCAAAGGAGCCCACUCAUUAGCUCUCAAUGAUAAUCUACUCCCUACAUUUGACUCAAGUCCUUCCUUCAAUGUAAGUUUCUGGAUUUUGUUUUUCACCAGUUUAAUCAUCCAAGGGAAAACAGUCAGUCCGAUCACUUAGAAUAGUAAAAGCACACCUAUCCUCAAUAAGCUGUAUGGCUUGAGGUAUCAUGAAUGUCCAUAGCACAAACAGUGAGUGAUGAGUUAAGGCCAAAGCUUAAUACUUGGGAUUAGAGCAAACCCCUAACCUUAAGUUUGAGCAAAAAUUAUUUUAAUGCUUGCCUUUGCAAGCACCACAAAUUAAAACCAGUUUCAAUUAGAUAUAAAUAAACUUUCAGAGUUUAGAGAAGGCAAUAUAAUGCUGGAAUCUCCAGUCAAUUUACUGUGAAACAACUGUGCGCCAGUGGAAUUUAUUGGGAGGAAAAAAAUAGAUUAAUAAUUUGACUUGCUCUGUUGUAUUUGAGAGUCUUAAUUGAGUAAUGUUUGUACAUUUGCCUGAUUGGCCAGUGCAGAUUAAGCUUUUAUAUGCAAAGUAAACAUAAAGGGACUCACACACACACACACACACACACACACCGAUGGUCUACCAAAAAAAACUAAGCGAUUAGAUUCGAAUUAUGACACUAGAAAUGUCCUCGUACACCUUGUAAUUAUCAGUUUGUAACCUAAAAAUGAAGUCCUUGUAAACCACUCAAACCAGCAUCCCAGUAAUGUCCAAUGUUCUGUCUAUUAAUA